AGAAGUAAAAGUCGUAACAAGGUUUCCGUAGGUGAACCUGCGGAAGGAUCAUUAUCGAAAUCGAACGUCCGGGAGGGGGCCCUCGACCCUUUCGGGCUUCAACCUUCUUUCACACCCGUGUGCACUCGCUGUAGGUCCUUCGGGAUCUACGUCUCCUUUUCGAACUCGCAUGUCUACAGAAUGCGUUCGUCGCGUCCCGACGUAAAACCGACGUUUACAACUUUCAGCAACGGAUCUCUUGGCUCUCGCAUCGAUGAAGAACGCAGCGAAUCGCGAUAAGUAAUGUGAAUUGCAGAUUUUCCGUGAAUCAUCGAAUCUUUGAACGCAUCUUGCGCUCCUUGGUAUUCCGAGGAGCAUGCCUGUUUGAGCGUCAUCGAAAAACUCGAAUCGAAGCUUCGACCUCGUCGAAGCCUUGCGGUUCGGAACUUGGGAGUCUGCGGGCGAGCCUCGCCUCGUCCGCUCUCCUCAAAAGCAUUAGCCGUGGGCGACGAGCCUCGCAUGGCACGGCCUCUUCGACGUCAUAAUGAUCGUCGUGGGGGCUGGAAGUGCACAGUGGCUCGACGUGAACCCCCCCAUGCUUCUCAACGCUUGCGAGCCCGUCCCGCAGGGGAACGGCCGCGCCCGACAUAUCGAUGCUUGACCUCAAAUCAGGA
RNAcentral lists this ribosomal RNA (653 nucleotides) under uncultured Sclerodermataceae. RNAcentral describes it as "eukaryotic LSU rRNA". The stretch from base 219 to 373 matches the Rfam family "5.8S ribosomal RNA". The record is from RNAcentral. Lineage: Eukaryota; Fungi; Basidiomycota; Agaricomycetes; Boletales; Sclerodermataceae.